GCUGGGGACAGUGGCGCAUGCCUGUAGUUCCAGCUACUUGGGAGGCUGAGGUGGGAGAAUCACUUGAGCCCAGGAGUUCUGGGCUGUAGUGCGCUAUGCCGAUUGGGUGUCCGCACUAAGUUCAGCAUCAAUAUGGUGACCUCCCGGAAGCGGGGGACCACCAGGUUGCCUCAGGAGGGGUGAACUGGCCCAGAUCGGAAAUGGAGCAGAUUAAAAUACCCGUGCUGAUCAGUAGUGGGAUUGCGCCUGUGAAUAGCCACUACACUCCAGCCUGGGCAACAGCGGGACCCUGUCUCU
Molecule: signal recognition particle RNA, 297 nt
Filed under: Aotus nancymaae (Ma's night monkey)
Lineage: Eukaryota; Metazoa; Chordata; Mammalia; Primates; Aotidae
Description: Metazoan signal recognition particle RNA (ENSANAG00000011896.1)
Rfam family: Metazoan signal recognition particle RNA
About the family: The signal recognition particle (SRP) is a universally conserved ribonucleoprotein. It is involved in the co-translational targeting of proteins to membranes. The eukaryotic SRP consists of a 300-nucleotide 7S RNA and six proteins: SRPs 72, 68, 54, 19, 14, and 9.
Source: RNAcentral